GAGGGUAUAGCUCAAGCGGUAGAGCGCAUGCUUAGCAUGCACAAGGUCCUGGGUUCAAUCCUUAGUAACUCCU
RNAcentral lists this transfer RNA (73 nucleotides) under Camelus bactrianus (Bactrian camel). It matches the Rfam family "tRNA". From Rfam's summary of the family: Transfer RNA (tRNA) molecules are approximately 80 nucleotides in length. Their secondary structure includes four short double-helical elements and three loops (D, anti-codon, and T loops). The record is from Rfam by way of RNAcentral. Lineage: Eukaryota; Metazoa; Chordata; Mammalia; Artiodactyla; Camelidae. RNAcentral also lists the same sequence under 2 other names.